This 301-nucleotide ribosomal RNA is filed under the name uncultured bacterium. RNAcentral's name for it is "partial 16S ribosomal RNA". It matches the Rfam family "Bacterial small subunit ribosomal RNA", at positions 509 to 807 of the family's 1533-position model. The record is from RNAcentral.
CAGUCGCCGCGGUAAUACGGAGGGAGCUAGCGUUGUUCGGAAUUACUGGGCGUAAAGCGCACGUAGGCGGUUAUUCAAGUCAGAGGUGAAAGCCCGGGGCUCAACCCCGGAACUGCCUUUGAAACUAGAUGACUGGAAUCUUGGAGAGGUCAGUGGAAUUCCGAGUGUAGAGGUGAAAUUCGUAGAUAUUCGGAAGAACACCAGUGGCGAAGGCGACUGACUGGACAGGUAUUGACGCUGAGGUGCGAAAGCGUGGGGAGCAAACAGGAUUAGAUACCCCCGUAGUCCCUGUCUCUUAUAC